Molecule: long non-coding RNA, 1267 nt
Organism: Pseudophryne corroboree (corroboree frog)
Lineage: Eukaryota; Metazoa; Chordata; Amphibia; Anura; Myobatrachidae
Exons: 3
Source: RefSeq, a predicted model, not a curated record
AGGAUUAGAUGUCUGACCUGGAAGUGUUCGUCACAUGACCACUAGGACCCAGAAGAGGCCACUAGAGCCACUGCAGCCAUCGGGGGCAGAUUUUACUUCAGAGUGACCGAUGGCUGUACAGGCCCUACACCCUUCCUAACAGUACAUCUUGCCCAGCGAGAGAGAGACUGAGGAACAAGAGAGGGAGGGGCAGGAGAGAGAGAGAGAAACGCUGAGGAGAGAGAGACACACAGGGACAAAGAAGAGAGAGAAAACAAAUGUUGGACAGGAGAGAUACAGGGGGACAGGAGCAGUAGCGGAUCUUGCCAUGGGCAGAAAUUAUUCUUUGAAGAAGCCGCCGAUCUGCACACAGGCGGAGAAACGCGUAGAGGAGUGCCAUCCACGGCGUUGAUCUGUUGCAUCCCGCACCUAUACGUGAGGACAAGAGUGGUAACUAUCAAGAGUGAGACGUCACUUCUUUAAUCAGUUACCUGGUCUGAAGACACGUUGUGUCGGGUUCUAUUUAAUAGCGUGGCCACGCUGGACUUUGCAGUUGAAUUAUUCUAUGGACAAAAAUCCUGAGUAUUAACAUUCAAACAGCUAUUCCAUUAAGCAAUUGUUUGCAUGCUUUGAAUCAUUUCGGAAAGUUACGAACUAACAGUUGAAGAUUCUUGCAUGAUAUUAAGUGAGCCUGUCUAACAUCACUGAGCUUGGUUCCGUCUGGCUAAAAAUUAUGAACUGUUAGUAACUAAUUGUUCUAAACGAACAGCUUCUAACAUCUCCAAGCUUUGCUCUAUCUAUAUCUUUGCAAAUAUAAAUAUGUGGAUUUAUGCUGAUUUAUACUGCAGUAAAUAAGUUGAUCAACUAAUAAGUGGCCACAGGGUGAAAUUAUAAGCCGUGUUAUGAAUGUUGUUUGUAUAAAUGUCUAAUAAAUGUUAUAUGUUUUAAUUUAUACUGAUCAGGAUAGCGCUUCAUUUUAUCUUUUGUGGUUUUUACAUUUUUUGAGAGGUAACAGUGACCUCUUAGGUGAAGCAGCAAUCCCAGAUCAGGUGUAUUGUUAGUUACAUCCCAGAUCUUUUAACUAUUUGCGCCCAGGUGUUAUCUUUCUUUUUCUUUCUUUCCCCAAGCGACUAUCUUGGUUAACUCGACACUUGCUUAGUCUAUUCAUUUUCGCACUCGGACCAUGUAUUCAAGCAUCCAUUAUGUUCCCUUCUCUAUGUUUAUGUCACGUUGUUGUUUUCUUUUUUUCUUCUUUUCUCUUUUCUUUUUUCUUUUUUCUUUCUGAGAG